AUGAACGCUGGCGGCGUGCCUAAUACAUGCAAGUCGAGCGAACAGACGAGGAGCUUGCUCCUCUGACGUUAGCGGCGGACGGGUGAGUAACACGUGGAUAACCUACCUAUAAGACUGGGAUAACUUCGGGAAACCGGAGCUAAUACCGGAUAAUAUAUUGAACCGCAUGGUUCAAUAGUGAAAGACGGUUUUGCUGUCACUUAUAGAUGGAUCCGCGCCGCAUUAUCUAGUUGGUAAGGUAACGGCUUACCAAGGCAACGAUGCGUAGCCGACCUGAGAGGGUGAUCGGCCACACUGGAACUGAGACACGGUCCAGACUCCUACGGGAGGCAGCAGUAGGGAAUCUUCCGCAAUGGGCGAAAGCCUGACGGAGCAACGCCGCGUGAGUGAUGAAGGUCUUCGGAUCGUAAAACUCUGUUAUUAGGGAAGAACAAAUGUGUAAGUAACUAUGCACGUCUUGACGGUACCUAAUCAGAAAGCCACGGCUAACUACGUG
RNAcentral lists this ribosomal RNA (496 nucleotides) under uncultured bacterium. RNAcentral's name for it is "partial 16S ribosomal RNA". It matches the Rfam family "Bacterial small subunit ribosomal RNA", at positions 29 to 507 of the family's 1533-position model. The record is from RNAcentral.